AAAUGGCCAAAAACGGGUGGGCUAUAGCCUUGGCGGGGGGCGUGGGCGAAGUUCGUCCGCCGGACUCGGAAUGGCCCCAGACUUGACGGGCGGCCUCCGUGUGCCAAAAAUAGGCCACGGGUACAGCCGCGCCCAAUAAUCAGCCCCCGAAGUCGGGGUCCUAAGACCCCCCAGCGGAAAAAUGGCCAAAAAAUGGGUGGGUUAUAGCCUUGGUGGGCGGCGUGGGUGAUGUUCGUCCGCGGGACUCAGAAUUGCCCCAGACUUGGCGGGCGGCCUCCGUGUGUCAAAAAUAGGACACGGGCACAGCCUUGCCCAAAAAUCAGCCCCCGAAGGUCGGGGUCCCAAGACCCCCCAGCGGAAAAAUGGCCAAAAAACGGGUGGGCUAUAGCCUUGGUGGGGGGCGUGGGCGAAGUUCGUCCGCCGGACUCGGAAUAGCCCCAGGCUUGGCGGGCGGCCUCCGUGUGCCAAAAAUAGGCCACGGGCACAGGCGCGCCCAAAAAUCAGCCCCCGAAGGUCGGGGUCCCAAUACCCCCCAGCGGAAAAAUGGCCAAAAAACGGGUGGGCUAUAGCCUUGGUGGGGGGCGUGGGCGAAGUUCGUCCGCCGGACUCGGAAUGGCCCCAGACUUGGCGGGCGGCCUCCGUGUGCCAAAAAUAGGCCACGGGCACAGCCGCGCCCAAAAAUCAGCCCCCGAAGGUCGGGGUCCCAAGACCCCCCAGCGGAAAAAUGGCCAAAAAACGGGUGGGCUAUAGCCUUGGCGGGGGGCGUGGGCGAAGUUCGUCCGCCGGACUCGGAAUGGCCCCAGACUUGGUGGGCGGCCUCCGUGUGCCCAAAAUAGACCACGGGCACAGCCGCGCCCAAAAAUCAGCGACCGAAGGUCGGGGUCCCAAGACCCCCCAGCGGAAAAAUGGCCAAAAAACGGGUGGGCUAUAGGCUUGGUGGGGGGCGUGGGCGAAGUUCAUCCGCGGGACUCGGAAUGGCACCAGACUUGGCGGGCGGCCUCCGUGUGCCAAAAAUAGGCCACGGGCACAGCCGCGCCCAAAAAUCAGCCCCCGAAGGUCGGGGUCCCAAGACCCCCCAGCGGAAAAAUGGCCAAAAAAUGGGUGGGUUAUAGCCUUGGUGGGCGGCGUGGGUGAUGUUCGUCCGCGGGACUCAGAAUUGCCCCAGACUUGGCGGGCGGCCUCCGUGUGUCAAAAAUAGGACACGGGCACAGCCUUGCCAAAAAAUCAGCCCCCGAAGGUCGGGGUCCCAAGACCCCCCAGCGGAAAAAUGGCCAAAAAACGGGUGGGCUAUAGCCUUGGUGGGGGGCGUGGGCGAAGUUCGUCCGCCGGACUCGGAAUAGCCCCAGGCUUGGCGGGCGGCCUCCGUGUGCCAAAAAUAGGCCACGGGCACAGGCGCGCCCAAAAAUCAGCCCCCGAAGGUCGGGGUCCCAAUACCCCCCAGCGGAAAAAUGGCCAAAAAACGGGUGGGCUAUAGCCUUGGUGGGGGGCGUGGGCGAAGUUCGUCCGCCGGACUCGGAAUGGCCCCAGACUUGGCGGGCGGCCUCCGUGUGCCAAAAAUAGGCCACGGGCACAGCCGCGCCCAAAAAUCAGCCCCCGAAGGUCGGGGUCCCAAGACCCCCCAGCGGAAAAAUGGCCAAAAAACGGGUGGGCUAUAGCCUUGGCGGGGGGCGUGGGCGAAGUUCGUCCGCCGGACUCGGAAUGGCCCCAGACUUGACGGGCGGCCUCCGUGUGCCAAAAAUAGGCCACGGGUACAGCCGCGCCCAAUAAUCAGCCCCCGAAGUCGGGGUCCUAAGACCCCCCAGCGGAAAAAUGGCCAAAAAACGGGUUGGCUAUAACCUUGGUGGGCGGCGUGGGCGAAGUUCAUCCGCGGGACUCAGAAUGGCCCCAGACUUGGCGGGCGGCCUCCGUGUGCGAAAAAUAGGCCACGGGCACAGCCUUGCCCAAAAAUCAGCCCCCGAAGGUCGGGGUCCUAAGACCCCCCAGCGGAAAAAUGGCCGAAAAACGGGUGGGCUAUAGCCUUGGUGGGGGGCGUGGGCGAAGUUCGUCCGCCGGACUCGGAAUGGCCCCAGACUUGGCAGGCGGCCUCCGUGUGCCAAAAAUAGGCCACGGGCACAGCCGCGCCCAAAAAUCAGCCCCCGAAGGUCGGGGUCCCAAGACCCCCCAGCGGAAAAAUGGCCAAAAAACGGGUGGGCUAUAGCCUUGGUGGGGGGAGUGGGCGAAGUUCGUCCGCGGGACUCGGAAUGGCACCAUAGUUGGCGGGCAGCCUCCGUGUGCCAAAAAUAGGCCACGGGCGCAGCCGCGCCCAAAAAUCAGCCCCCGAAGGUCGGGGUCCCAAGACCCCCCAGCGGAAAAAUGGCCAAAAAAUGGGUGGGCUAUAGCCUUGGUGGGGGGCGUGGGCGAAGUUCGUCCGCGGGACUCGGAAUGGCACCAGACUUGGUGGGCGGCCUCCGUGUGCCAAAAAUAGGCCACGGACACAGCCGCGUCCAAAAAUCAGCCGCCAAAGGUCGGGGUCCCAAGACCCCUCAGUGGAAAAAUGGCCAAAAAACGGGUGGGCUAUAGCCUUGGUGGGGGGCGUGGGCGAAGUUCGUCCGCGGGACUCGGAAUGGCCCCAGACUUGGCGGGCGGCCUCCGUGUGCAAAAAAUAGGCCACGGGCACAGCCGCGCCCAAAAAUCAGCCCCGAAGGUCGGGGUCCCAAGACCCCUCAGCGGAAAAAUGGCCAAAAAACGGGUGGGCUAUAGCCUAUGUGGGGGGAGUGGGCGAAGUUCGUUCGCCGGACUCGGAAUGGCCCCAGACUUGGUGGGCGGCCUCCGUGUGCCAAAAAUAGGCCACGGGCACAGCCGCGCCCAAAAAUCAGCCACCGAAGGUCGGGGUCCCAAGACCCCCCAGCGGAAAAAUGGCCAAAAAACGGGUGGGCUAUAGCCUUGGUGGGGGGCGUGGGCGAAGUUCGUCAGCGGGACUCGGAAUGGCACCAGACUUGGCGGGCGGCCUCCGUGUGCCAAAAAUAGGCCACGGGAACAGCCGCGCCCAAAAAUCAGCCCCCGAAGGUCGGGGUCCCAAGACCCCCCAGCGGAAAAAUGGCCAAAAAAUGGGUGGGUUAUAGCCUUGGUGGGCGGCGUGGGCGAAGUUCGUCCGCGGGAUUCAGAAUGGCCCCAGACUUGGCGGGCGGCCUCCGUGUACCAAAAAUGGGACACGGGCACAGCCGUGCCCAAAUAUCAGCCCCCGAAGGUCGGGGUCCCAAUACCCCCCAGUGGAAAAAUGGCCAAAAAACGGGUGGGCUAUAGCCUUGGUGGGGGGCGUGGGCGAAGUUCGUCCGCCGGACUCGGAAUGGCCCCAGACUUGGCAGGCGGCCUCCGUGUGCCAAAAAUAGGCCACGGGCACAGCUGCGCCCAAAAAUCAGCCCCCGAAGGUCGGGGUCCCAAGACCCCCCAGCGGAAAAAUGGCCAAAAAAUGGGUGGGCUAUAGUCUUGGUGGGGGGCGUGGGCGAAGUUCGUCCGCGGGACUCGGAAUGGCCCCAGACUUGGCGGGCGGCCUCCGUGUGCCAAAAAUAGGCCACGGGCACAGCCGCGCCCAAAAAUCAGCCCCCGAAGGUCGGGGUCCCAAGACCCCCCAGCGGAAAAAUGGCCAAAAAACGGGUGGGCUAUAGCCUUGGUGGGGGGAGUGGGCGAAUUCGUCCGCGGGACUCGGAAUGGCACCAUAGUUGGCGGGCAGCCUCCGUGUGCCAAAAAUAGGCCACGGGCGCAGCCGCGCCCAAAAAUCAGCCCCCGAAGGUCGGGGUCCCAAGACCCCCCAGCGGAAAAAUGGCCAAAAAACGGGUGGGCUAUAGCCUUGGUGGGGGGCGUGGGCGAAGUUCGUCCGCCGGACUCGGAAUGGCCCCAGACUUGGCAGGCGGCCUCCGUGUGCCAAAAAUAGGCCACGGGCACAGCUGCGCCCAAAAAUCAGCCCCCGAAGGUCGGGGUCCCAAGACCCCCCAGCGGAAAAAUGGCCAAAAAACGGGUGGGCUAUAGUCUUGGUGGGGGGCGUGGGCGAAGUUCGUCCGCGGGACUCGGAAUGGCCCCAGACUUGGCGGGCGGCCUCCGUGUGCCAAAAAUAGGCCACGGGCACAGCCGCGCCCAAAAAUCAGCCCCCGAAGGUCGGGGUCCCAAGACCCCCCAGCGGAAAAAUGGCCAAAAAACGGGUGGGCUAUAGCCUUGGUGGGGGGAGUGGGCGAAGUUCGUCCGCGGGACUCGGAAUGGCACCAUAGUUGGCGGGCAGCCUCCGUGUGCCAAAAAUAGGCCACGGGCGCAGCCGCGCCCAAAAAUCAGCCCCCGAAGGUCGGGGUCCCAAGACCCCCCAGCGGAAAAAUGGCCAAAAAACGGGUGGGCUAUAGCCUUGGUGGGGGGCGUGGGCGAAGUUCGUCCGCCGGACUCGGAAUGGCCCCAGACUUGGCGGGCGGCCUCCGUGUGCCAAAAAUAGGCCACGGGCACAGCUGCGCCCAAAAAUCAGCCCCCGAAGGUCGGGGUCCCAAGACCCCCCAGCGGAAAAAUGGCCAAAAAACGGGUGGGCUAUAGUCUUGGUGGGGGGCGUGGGCGAAGUUCGUCCGCGGGACUCGGAAUGGCCCCAGACUUGGCGGGCGGCCUCCGUGUGCCAAAAAUAGGCCACGGGCACAGCCGCGCCCAAAAAUCAGCCCCCGAAGGUCGGGGUCCCAAGACCCCCCAGCGGAAAAAUGGCCAAAAAACGGGUGGGCUAUAGCCUUGGUGGGGGGAGUGGGCGAAGUUCGUCCGCGGGACUCGGAAUGGCACCAUAGUUGGCGGGCAGCCUCCGUGUGCCAAAAAUAGGCCACGGGCGCAGCCGCGCCCAAAAAUCAGCCCCCGAAGGUCGGGGUCCCAAGACCCCCCAGCGGAAAAAUGGCCAAAAAAUGGGUGGGCUAUAGCCUUGGUGGGGGGCGUGGGCGAAGUUCGUCCGCGGGACUCGGAAUGGCACCAGACUUGGUGGGCGGCCUCCGUGUGCCAAAAAUAGGCCACGGACACAGCCGCGUCCAAAAAUCAGCCGCCAAAGGUCGGGGUCCCAAGACCCCUCAGCGGAAAAAUGGCCAAAAAACGGGUGGGCUAUAGCCUUGGUGGGGGGCGUGGGCGAAGUUCGUCCGCGGGACUCGGAAUGGCCCCAGACGUGGCGGGCGGCCUCCGUGUGCCAAAAAUAGGCCACGGGCGCAGCCGCGCCCAAAAAUCAGCCCCCGAAGGUUGGGGUCCCAAGACCCCCCAGCGUAAAAAUGGCCAAAAAAAGGGUGGGCUAUAGCCUUGGUGGGGGGCGUGGGCGAAGUUCGUCCGCGGGACUCGGAAUGGCCCCAGACAUGGCGGGCGGCCUCCGUGUGACAAAAAUAGGCCACGGGCACAGCCGCGCCCAAAAAUCAGCCCCCGAAGUCGGGGUCCGAAGACCCCCCAGCGGAAAAAUGGCCAAAAAACGGGUUGGCUAUAACCUUGGUGGGCGGCGUGGGCGAAGUUCGUCCGCGGGACUCAGAAUGGCCCCAGACUUGGCGGGCGGCCUCCGUGUGCGAAAAAUAGGCCACGGGCACAGCCGCGCCCAAAAAUCAGCCCCCGAAGGACGGGGUCCCAAGAUCCCCCAGCGGAAAAAUGGCCAAAAAACGGGUGGGUUAUAGCCUUGGUGGGGAGCGUGGGCGAAGUUCGUCCGCCGGACUCGGAAUGGCCCCAGGCUUGGCGGGCGGCCUCCGUGUGCGAAAAAUAGGCCACGGGCACAGGCGCGCCCAAAAAUCAGGCCCCGAAGUUCGGGGUCCCAAGACCCCCCAGCGGAAAAAUGGCCAAAAAACGGGUGGGCUAUAGCCUAUGUGGGGGGCGUUGGCGAAGUUCGUUCGCCGGACUCGGAAUGGCCCCAGACUUGGUGGGCGGACUCCGUGUGCCAAAAAUAGGCCACGGGCACAGCCGCGCCCAAAAAUCAGCCACCGAAGGUCGGGGUCCCAAGACCCCCAAGCGGAAAAAUAGCCAAAAAACGGGUGGGCAAUAGCCUUGGUGGGGGGCGUGGGCGAAGUUCGUCCGCGGGACUCGGAAUGGAACCAGACUUGGCGGGCGGCCUCCGUGUGCCAAAAAUAGGCCACGGGCACAGCCGCGCCCAAAAAUCAGCCCCCGAAGGUCGGGGUCCCAAGACCCCCCAGCGGAAAAAUGGCCAAAAAAUGGGUGGGUUAUAGCCUUGGUGGGCAGCGUGGGCGAAGUUCGUCCGCGGGACUCAGAAUGGCCCCAGACUUGGCGGGCGGCCUCCGUGUACCAAAAAUAGGACACGGGCACAGCCGCGCCCAAAAAUCAGCCCCCGAAGGUUGGGGUCCCAAGACCCCCCAGCGUAAAAAUGGCCAAAAAAAGGGUGGGCUAUAGCCUUGGUGGGGGGCGUGGGCGAAGUUCGUCCGCGGGACUCGGAAUGGCCCCAGACUUGGCGGGCGGCCUCCGUGUGACAAAAAUAGGCCACGGGCACAGCCGCGCCCAAAAAUCAGCCCCCGAAGUCGGGGUCCGAAGACCCCCCAGCGGAAAUAUGGCCAAAAAACGGGUUGGCUAUAACCUUGGUGGGCGGCGUGGGCGAAGUUCGUCCGCGGGACUCAGAAUGGCCCCAGACUUGGCGGGCGGCCUCCGUGUGCGAAAAAUAGGCCACGGGCACAGCCGCGCCCAAAAAUCAGCCCCCGAAGGACGGGGUCCCAAGAUCCCCCAGCGGAAAAAUGGCCAAAAAACGGGUGGGUUAUAGCCUUGGUGGGGGGCGUGGGCGAAGUUCGUCCGCCGGACUCGGAAUGGCCCCAAGCUUGGCGGGCGGCCUCCGUGUGCGAAAAAUAGGCCACGGGCACAGGCGCGCCCAAAAAUCAGGCCCCGAAGUUCGGGGUCCCAAGACCCCCCAGCGGAAAAAUGGCCAAAAAACGGGUGGGCUAUAGCCUAUGUGGGGGGCGUUGGCGAAGUUCGUUCGCCGGACUCGGAAUGGCCCCAGACUUGGUGGGCGGACUCCGUGUGCCAAAAAUAGGCCACGGGCACAGCCGCGCCCAAAAAUCAGCCACCGAAGGUCGGGGUCCCAAGACCCCCCAGCGGAAAAAUAGCCAAAAAACGGGUGGGCAAUAGCCUUGGUGGGGGGCGUGGGCGAAGUUCGUCCGCGGGACUCGGAAUGGAACCAGACUUGGCGGGCGGCCUCCGUGUGCCAAAAAUAGGCCACGGGCACAGCCGCGCCCAAAAAUCAGCCCCCGAAGGUCGGGGUCCCAAGAACCCCCAGCGGAAAAAUGGCCAAAAAAUGGGUGGGUUAUAGCCUUGGUGGGCAGCGUGGGCGAAGUUCGUCCGCGGGACUCAGAAUGGCCCCAGACUUGGCGGGCGGCCUCCGUGUACCAAAAAUAGGACACGGGCACAGCCGCGCCCAAAAAUCAGCCCCCGAAGGUUGGGGUCCCAAGACCCCCCAGCGUAAAAAUGGCCAAAAAAAGGGUGGGCUAUAGCCUUGGUGGGGGGCGUGGGCGAAGUUCGUCCGCGGGACUCGGAAUGGCCCCAGACUUGGCGGGCGGCCUCCGUGUGACAAAAAUAGGCCACGGGCACAGCCGCGCNN
This 7549-nucleotide long non-coding RNA is filed under the name Citrus x clementina. Its description in RNAcentral is "Citrus clementina (C. clementina) long non-coding RNA (CCLE_LNC003721)". The record is from RNAcentral. Lineage: Eukaryota; Viridiplantae; Streptophyta; Magnoliopsida; Sapindales; Rutaceae.